RNA transcript from Prosopis cineraria, 2428 nucleotides. It is a transcript of the gene named UDP-glycosyltransferase 88A1-like, with no coding region annotated. The record is from RefSeq and is a predicted model, not a curated record. The transcript has 4 exons. NCBI's taxonomy places the organism in Eukaryota, Viridiplantae, Streptophyta, Magnoliopsida, Fabales, Fabaceae.
AUGGUCCCGACUUUAUGGGGUCUUCAUGUCAACAUUUUAAUCCAAGAUCAUCUUCUUCCGUUACCGUCCAUUUUCAGGUUUAUUCUUCAUCAUCUCUAUUUUUCGCUUUAUUCUGCAAUAGUUGGUCCCUUCAAAUUCGAUUUGAAGCAGCAAAAUGAAAGAGGCGGUGGUUCUGUAUCCCCUGAUGCAGUGGGGACACCUGGUUCCCAUGGUAGAGUUAAGCAAGCUCAUACUAUCUCUCCAACCUUCACUUGCGACCACCAUCCUCCUUCCUUCACCACCCAACCCCUCCACCGCCGAUUACAUGGCCGCGGUCUCCGCCGCCAUUGAUCCUCACAUCGUCUUCCAACAACUCCCUCCAGUGUCUCUACCUCCCUCUGCGCCUAACCAUGAAACCCUCAUGUUCGAGCUUCUUCGCCUCAACACCCCCAAUCUCCACCAAGCUCUCGUUUCCAUUUCCAAAACUCAUGCCAUCAUCGCACUUAUUGCAGAUUUCUUUGCUUUGGAAGCUUUAUCGGUUUCUUCUCAACUCAACAUCCGUACCUUUUGCUUCUUCACCACCUGCGCCGGCAACCUCGCCUCGUUCCUCUACCUCCCUACCCUCCACCGGACCACCGAUAAGAGCCUCAAAGAAAUCGAUGCCCCUCUUAACAUCCCCGGUCUUCCACCGAUUACUGGCAGGGACAUGCCUGAACCAUUGCUUGAACGAAAUGAUUUUGCUUACGAAGGAUUUCUGAAAUGCUCUGUUCUUGCCCGCAAAACAGCUGGUAUUAUUGUCAACACAUUUGAAGCCUUGGAACACAAGUGCCUCGGUGCAAUUUACGAUGGGUUUUGUGUAUCGGAUGGUCCAACACCGCCCAUCUAUCCGGUAGGUCCUUUGAUUGAUUAUGAUAAAGGAGAAGCAUCAGAACACGAAUGUUUGAGGUGGUUAGAUUCACAGCCUGACAGAAGCGUCGUGUUCUUGUGUUUUGGGAGUUUGGGGUUGUUUUGUGGAGAGCAAUUACAUGAAAUAGCUUGUGGAUUAGAGAGGAGUGGCCAAAGAUUCUUGUGGGUAGUGCGGAAUCCACCGUCGGAGAAAACCCAGAAUAUCGCCUUAUCGUCGCAGGUGGAUCCAGAUCUGGAUUUCUUGCUGCCGGAAGGUUUUAUGGAUCGGACCAGGGAAAGAGGGAUGGUAGUGAAGAAGUGGGCCCCACAGGUUGAGGUUUUGAAUCACAGGUCGGUGGGUGGGUUCGUGACCCAUUGCGGGUGGAACUCAGUGUUGGAGGCGGUGCUCGCUGCCGUCCCGAUGGUGGCGUGGCCUUUGUACGCGGAGCAGAGGUUCAAUAGGGUGGUUAUGGUGGAGGAAAUGAAGAUUGCCUUGUGGAUGCGCAAGUCGUUGUCGUCGGAAGGUCGGUUGGUUGAGGCGGGGGAGGUGGCAGAGCGAGUCACUGAGUUGAUGGAAUCGGAGAGAGGUGAGUCGGUGAGGAAGCGAGUUGAGGCUGCGAGGGGUGAAGCAGAAGCUGCGUUGAGGCAAGGAGGGACUUCUCGUGUUGCAUUGGCCAGACUCACCGAUUCUUGGAGGGGCGCUUAGAUAGUGACUGGUAACACAUGUGCACUUGGACUUGUAUCAAUUGGUCAAGGAAGUGCAAGAGGGGCAUUUUGGGCAUAAGUUGUAACAUCCUGAUUUUUAUAUAAUAAAGAAAUUAUGGAAUUUAGAUUUUGAGGAAAAAAAAUGAUAAUAAUAGGAAUUUAUAUUAUUUGAGGUUAUUUAGAAAUAAUAUUAUGGUUAGGUAUUUAAUUAUAAAUUUAAAAAUUUAAAUUUAAAAUCACAUAAGCAAUAUUUAGUUAAGAUAUAAUACAUAAAUAAUUUUUUAUUGUGUGUAAAAAAAAAGAGAAGGUAGAAGGAACAAAAAAAAGGGGUGGAAGGUUGUUGUUUCUAAGUUCCACAUUGGUUAGAUGAGGGAAGAGAAGAGGUGCCUUCAUGUAUAAAAAGGAGGGGGUGUGUGCAUUAGGAAGCAUGAGAGGCUAAGAUGCAAUUUAGAGAAAAUUGCAACUUUUGACCCAAAGGUUUGAAUAAUUAAAUUCGAACCUAUAGUUUUUUUUAAUAUAAUUUUGGGACCACAAUUCCAUUUUUAUAUUAUUUUUCUCUCUUUCUCUCACGUUGCUCGGCGUUUUUCUCGCGAGGGGGGAUUAUUUUCUUUUUCUUCAGAUUGUGUUGACAAAGAUAGUGGUGAAAGAGGAGUUGUGAAGGGGAACUUGUUAUUCAAGACACAAGGAGCGAGUCCGGCCGAGAAAGCACCAGAGGUGUAACUAUGGUGUAUGAAAUACCAUCUUUUACGUUGCCUCUUAUUUUGGAUUAUACAAUGUAUCUUGUGCUAACUUAAGACAUAUCUUCUUUGUGAAGCAUGUAAACUCUAAUCCUUUUUAUUAAAAGUAUUUAUUUGACCAA